Non-coding RNA from Stegodyphus mimosarum, 73 nucleotides. The record is from Rfam. Lineage: Eukaryota; Metazoa; Arthropoda; Arachnida; Araneae; Eresidae.
GCCUUCGUGGUGUAGUGGUCAGCACGCUCGACGCAUAUUUGAGAGGUCUGUGGUUCGAGUCCCGGCGAAAGCA